UCAGUCGACUCCUACGGGAGGCAGCAGUGGGGAAUAUUGCACAAUGGGGGAAACCCUGAUGCAGCCAUGCCGCGUGUGUGAAGAAGGCCUUCGGGUUGUAAAGCACUUUCAGUAGGGAGGAAGGUAGUGUAGUUAACACCUGCACUAUUUGACGUUACCUACAGAAGAAGCACCGGCUAACUCCGUGCCAGCAGCCGCGGUAAUACGGAGGGUGCGAGCGUUAAUCGGAAUUACUGGGCGUAAAGCGCAUGCAGGCGGCCUGUUAAGUCAGAUGUGAAAGCCCCGGGGCUUAACCUCGGAAUUGCAUUUGAAACUGGCAGGCUAGAGUCUUGUAGAGGGGGUAGAAUUUCAGGUGUAGCGGUGAAAUGCGUAGAGAUCUGAAGGAAUACCAGUGGCGAAGGCGGCCCCCUGGACAAAGACUGACGCUCAGAUGCGAAAGCGUGGGGAGCAAACAGGAUUAGAUACCCUGGAG
This 472-nucleotide ribosomal RNA is filed under the name uncultured bacterium. RNAcentral describes it as "bacterial SSU rRNA". It matches the Rfam family "Bacterial small subunit ribosomal RNA", at positions 328 to 792 of the family's 1533-position model. The record is from RNAcentral.